This 253-nucleotide ribosomal RNA is filed under the name uncultured bacterium. RNAcentral's name for it is "partial 16S ribosomal RNA". It matches the Rfam family "Bacterial small subunit ribosomal RNA", at positions 524 to 776 of the family's 1533-position model. The record is from RNAcentral.
UACGAAGGGGGCUAGCGUUGUUCGGAAUUACUGGGCGUAAAGCGUGCGCAGGCGGCUUCUCAAGUCAGGGGUGAAAGCCCAGAGCUCAACUCUGGAAUUGCCUUUGAGACUGAGUGGCUUGAGUACGAGAGAGGUGAGUGGAAUUCCCAGUGUAGAGGUGAAAUUCGUAGAUAUUCGCAAGAACACCGGUGGCGAAGGCGGCCAACUGGACCAUUACUGACGCUGAGGCGCGAAAGCGUGGGGAGCAAACAGG